This 452-nucleotide ribosomal RNA is filed under the name uncultured bacterium. RNAcentral's name for it is "bacterial SSU rRNA". It matches the Rfam family "Bacterial small subunit ribosomal RNA", at positions 29 to 526 of the family's 1533-position model. The record is from RNAcentral.
AACGAACGCUGGCGGCAGGCUUAACACAUGCAAGUCGAGCGCUGUAGCAAUACAGAGCGGCAGACGGGUGAGUAACACGUGGGAAUCUACCCAACCCUACGGAACAACUCCGGGAAACUGGAGCUAAUACCGUAUACGCCCUUCGGGGGAAAGAUUUAUCGGGGAUGGAUGAGCCCGCGUUGGAUUAGCUAGUUGGUGGGGUAAAGGCCUACCAAGGCGACGAUCCAUAGCUGGUCUGAGAGGAUGAUCAGCCACAUUGGGACUGAGACACGGCCCAAACUCCUACGGGAGGCAGCAGUGGGGAAUAUUGGACAAUGGGCGCAAGCCUGAUCCAGCCAUGCCGCGUGAGUGAUGAAGGCCUUAGGGUUGUAAAGCUCUUUCACCGAUGAAGAUAAUGACGGUAGUCGGAGAAGAAGCCCCGGCUAACUUCGUGCCAGCCGCCGCCGUAACAC